This is a non-coding RNA of Caenorhabditis elegans, 150 nucleotides long. Lineage: Eukaryota; Metazoa; Nematoda; Chromadorea; Rhabditida; Rhabditidae. The record is from Ensembl.
UUGAAUAAAUUUAAGAAUGAAAAUUUUCCAGCUUAAUUGUAGACGCGAAAAUUAAAAAGAUUUUGAUUUCAGAAAUGGAGUUGAGCGCAAAAUUUGGAUUAGGUGUAAAUGAUUAAAGUGUUUUCUAGUAUCAAUUUAACUUUUCAUGGU